UUUAGACACAAGAAGAGGUGGGAGUUGGAGCUCCGGCAGAUUGUUAGCUGCACCUGCAUGGAGAUAAGAACAUACUCAAAGGUUUAAGUAAAGCUUAAUUGUUGUUCGAUUAUGUCCCAUCCCUUUUGCUUGUCUGUUAAAACAUGACCGUUGAUAUGAUUCAGAGGCACUUAAACUUCAACACCACAACACUGCAGUACCAAAUAUGGUUUAGCACCUGUGGAUUCUUCAUUUAUAUGCAAGAUUUGUAAGCACAGAUUAAAGUAAACAGUAAUUAAUUCAAUUAAACAUCUGUGUUUGCACAAUGUGAGAUUAAAUUUAUAUAUUUAUUUAUUUAUUUUUUAUCUCAAUUCCACAGACUGUCUGCAGCUUGCAUCCCUUUCAGCUCCAUUCAGUGCAGAGAAUAUUCAGCACCACGGACAGCGAAGUGGAGCAGGUUCAGCCCAGGUGAACGAGGGGAAACUUGCUCAAGUAUAAUACUUUAGAUAUACAAUAUUCAAGUUUCCCAUUAGACAUACCUGAAUAAAGCUUUAUUAUAGUGAAACCAUAAGCUUUAAUUAACUCUCUCUGCUGGGGUGAUGUAAAACUUACCAUGCCUCCUGAGAUGGACUCUGGGACAUCCUUAAAGGUGAUGAUAGGAGCUUUGUGUGGCAUGAGUAACCAAGACCUCACUUGUAAAGUGCUUUUCUUUUCCUUUAAUACCCUAAAGUGUCCUAAUACAGCUCACUGCUUUCACGGAGCAGCAGGAUUACUUGAGUAUGCUGGAUUGGCGCUCACUCACUUUGUUUUAUCUCUCUCUCUUUUGUGUUUUGUUUGAGCUGUGAGCAGCUAAAUGUAAUUAUUUUCAUUUUAUGUUCCCUAAUUGUUCAUUUUGCAAAACACAGUCCAGAGAUAGAUUUUGUAUUUUUACUUGUACAUUUAUUUCAAGCAAAAUGUUAUUAAAAAAACAAAAUACAAAAAGACUUGUGUGGCAAGACAGAGG
This is a non-coding RNA of Xyrichtys novacula (pearly razorfish), 982 nucleotides long. The record is from the annotation of a GenBank genome assembly. Lineage: Eukaryota; Metazoa; Chordata; Actinopteri; Labriformes; Labridae.